This is a non-coding RNA of Podarcis lilfordi (Lilford's wall lizard), 76 nucleotides long. Lineage: Eukaryota; Metazoa; Chordata; Lepidosauria; Squamata; Lacertidae. The record is from the annotation of a GenBank genome assembly.
GGCUGGAUAGCUCAAUAGGUAGAGCACGAGACUCUCAAACCCCAAGGGUUGUGGGUUCGAGACCCGCGUUUGGGCG